Non-coding RNA from Henosepilachna vigintioctopunctata, 73 nucleotides. Lineage: Eukaryota; Metazoa; Arthropoda; Insecta; Coleoptera; Coccinellidae. The record is from the annotation of a GenBank genome assembly.
ACCUCGGUAGCUUAGUUAGUAGAGCAACAGGGCGUAAACCUGAGAUACCUGGGUUCGUAUCCCAGUCGAGGUU